This 1565-nucleotide unclassified non-coding RNA is filed under the name Hevea brasiliensis (rubber tree). Lineage: Eukaryota; Viridiplantae; Streptophyta; Magnoliopsida; Malpighiales; Euphorbiaceae. The record is from RNAcentral.
AGUUGAGUUGAGUUGAGUUUAUAAUUUUCUUCUUGAGAUGGCAAAGUGAUUAGGACUUCAUGGACAUAGUGAUUGCUAUGCCUGGGUCUUGGGGAGGUUCCUUUCCAUUAAAUUUAUUAGUUUUAUUGAUGUUUGUUCUAGUUUUAAUCUUGCUUUGGUGCAACAAUUUAAUUUGUUUUCUACCCUUUGAAAGUCAUAUGAUCCAAAGGAAGUUUCUGAAGUACAAAUUUAGCCUUUUGUGUGGAAUUUCCAAAUCUGUCAAGCUAUUUCUCCCCAGUAGGGAGCUUCAUAGACCAAUAUAUAAUAAGUGUUAUUAGAUUUCUAAAUUUGUAAUAACCUAGGUUUUGAGUCACUGAAACACCUUGUGAUUUGUUAUUAAUGGUUAUUUUUGCUUCCUUCAUCAUUAUUUCCAUAUUUUAUGCUUAUCAUUGUAGUUUUCGAUAGCUCAUUGUGUUCUUUGAAAUCAGUCUGGAUCUGAUGAGAGGAGUAUACCUGGGAACACUGUUGCUGUUCAUGCAGACAUGCCGUUUAGUGGCCUGACAACAUUUGGAGGGGCAUUCUUAUCAAAAUUUGAAUGUGCACAAAUGCCACAUCCAUUGCUAGAUGAAAUCACAAUUGUUGACACCCCUGGAGUUCUGUCUGGAGAAAAACAACGAACACAAAGGAGUUAUGAUUUUACUGGUGUUAUAUCAUGGUUUGCAGCAAAAUGUGAUCUCAUUCUUCUUUUGUUUGAUCCUCAUAAGCUUGAUAUAAGUGAUGAGUUCAAGAGAGUAAUUGCAUCUUUGCGUGUUAAUGAUGACAAGAUCCGUGUUGUUUUAAACAAGGCAGACCAAGUUGAUACACAACAAUUGAUGAGAGUUUAUGGGGCACUAAUGUGGUCACUUGGAAAAGUUUUAAAUACUCCAGAAGUUGUGCGUGUUUAUAUUGGUUCAUUCAAUGACAAGCCUAUUAAUGAAGAAACUGUCAACCCAAUGUUCCGUGAACUUUUUGAAAAAGAACAGGAUGAUCUUCUCAUGGACUUGGUUGAUAUUCCUAAGAAGGCCUGUGAUCGCCGUAUAAAUGAGUUUGUCAAGCGUGCUAGAGCAGCUAAGAUCCAUGCCUACAUGAUUAGCCAUCUUAAGAAAGAGAUGCCUGCCAUUAUGGGGAAGGCUAAGACUCAACAACGCCUUAUUGAUAAUCUUGAAGACGAAUUUGCAAAGGUCCAGAGGGAGUUUCAUUUACCAGUCGGAGAUUUCCCCAAUGUGGAUCAUUUCAAGGAAGUGUUGAAUGGUUAUAGCAUUGACAAAUUUGAAAAACUGAAACCUAAGAUGAUACAAGCUGUUGAUGACAUGCUUGGCUAUGAAAUCCCUGACCUCCUGAAAAAUUUUAGGAAUCCAUAUGCGUAAAUGAUUAUGGUUGCAAGUGAGAAAGGACAGUGAAACAUUCUAUGGUUAUUGUUCCUGCUAUAUGGUGUUUGUUUUGAGAGUCAUGGGAACUUUGGAGCAAGAUAUUCGAGAUUUGAGUGGAAUGAUAAUUUCAAUUCCUUGGUAAUUAAUUUUGGUUGUGUUAUUUUAUUUAUAUUUUAG